CUCUGUCCAUUUCCCUCCCAAUCAUUAGAAUAAUAGAUUCCAAGUUCACAUCUUGGGCUGUGGCCGCGGCUUAGCCCAAGAUGUGAACUUGGAAUCUAUUAUUCUAAUGAUUGGGAGGGAAAUGGACAGAG
Molecule: microRNA precursor, 131 nt
Filed under: Marmota monax (woodchuck)
Lineage: Eukaryota; Metazoa; Chordata; Mammalia; Rodentia; Sciuridae
Source: RNAcentral